This 25964-nucleotide long non-coding RNA is filed under the name Triticum aestivum (bread wheat). RNAcentral's name for it is "long non-coding RNA (TAES_LNC018891)". Lineage: Eukaryota; Viridiplantae; Streptophyta; Magnoliopsida; Poales; Poaceae. The record is from RNAcentral.
UGAUAGAGGCAAAGGUGUCCCGUCUUUCGAUGAGAUGGUGGAUUUCGCUUUGGUGGAAGUCGACUUUGACGAUCCGACUACGAACGUGCGAGGACGUCGCGCCUUAGCAAUCGCUAAACCAACUCCGAGAGGUUAUUGACCACGCCGGAGCACGAUCAACCUGACCACGAGGGUCUGUUUCCUGCGAGCAAACGAAGAACAAGCAAGAAACUGAGAUUGCAAUCUGGAUAUUGCGAAUAUAAGAUGAAAGCUUUAUUGAUCAAGGUGGGGUUCUGUGACGCCUUUGUCUGGUCGUUGAACACAAACGAAGUACGCGAAGUUGCAGCUAUGGCGAACUUUUAAUCUAAACAAAACCCAAAGUCUAAACGAUGCCCUAAGGGCUGUAUAUAUGGAGGAAGAGUGGGGAAUUUCGUGGCCCUUGGUGGAGGGGUCCGAAAUCAACCCUAUCUCUUGUUUCCCCACACAUACGGACUCUAAAAAUAGCCUAUACUUAUGUAGUUCGAAAUUACAUGGGCCUGGCCCAAUAAUAAGGUGACGCAGCACCUAAAAUAGCCUCGGGACGAAAUUUAUGAAGUGGCAUCUUGUAUAUUUCGUCCAAGGCUUCAUGCACCCAUUAUGGUGGCUUCAAAGUCCUGAAAUCAUCACUUGUAACUCCGUUCUUGUUCCCCUUGCGCAUGCCAUCAUCUCCAUGCUUGUUCUUGCUCCAAUGUUCAUCCUUCUCCAAGCUAGGCCCUUCAUUUGUAAGCAAAACAAAUGUAUCCAAUUUAGGCAGCAUCAUAUUCUCAUGAACAUUAGAAUCAUUACCAAGAAACGAAAGUACCUGGUAAUUUAGUUGGCGUGCACGAGCUCUAGUAAUUGGUCCAGUAUGUAUAGCAGCAGGGGCUGUGGGUGUAACAAUUGUAUUGGUGUCCUCAUCAGGUGGCGGCGUGACAACUUAUGACCAGAACUCGAAACUCUAAAAGACUAACGCUAAGACCAGCAACUAGACACGACGAUGCAACCGCAAAUUCAACAAAGCAAAACCCUAAAAAGAUUAUGCAAAGGCUCAGAUUGGUUCGGAUAUGAUGAACUAACCCUAAUUUUUUUUGGCUUUUUCGUGGACUGUAGGUAUGAAGAACAGACUCGAUCUAAACUACGAAAAACUGUAAAAUCUCACCGAGCAACCUGGAAAUCUGAUACCACUUGAUAGAGGCAAAGGUGUCCCGUCUUUCGAUGAGAUGAUGGAUAUCGCUUUGGUGGAAGUCAACUUUGACGAUCCGACUACGAACGUGCGAGGACGUCGCGCCUUAGCAAUCGCUAAACCAACUCCGAGAGGUUAUUGACCACGCCGGAGCACGAUCAACCUGACCACGAGGGUCUGUUUCCUGCGAGCAAACGAAGAACAAGCAAGAAACUAAGAUUGCAAUCUGGAUAUUGCGAAUAUAAGAUGAAAGCUUUAUUGAUCAAGGUGGGGUUCUGUGACGCCUUUGUGUGGUCGUUGAACACAAACGAAGUACGCGAAGUUGCAGCUAUGGCGAACUUUUAAUCUAAACAAAACCCAAAGUCUAAACGAUGCCCUAAGGGCUGUAUAUAUGGAGGAAGAGGGGGGAAUUUCGUGGCCCUUGGUGGAGGGGUCCGAAAUCAACCCUAUCUCUUGUUUCCCCACACAUACGGACUCUAAAAAUAGCCUAUACUUAUGUAUUUCGAAAUUACAUGGGCCUGGCCCAAUAAUAAGGUGACGCAGCACCUAAAAUAGCCUCGGGACGAAAUUUAUGAAGUGGCAUCUUGUAUAUUUCGUCCAAGGCUUCAUGCACCUAUUAUGGUGGCUUCAAAGUCCUGAAAUCAUCACUUGUAACUCCGUUCUUGUUCCCCUUGCGCAUGCCAUCAUCUCCAUGCUUGUUCUUGCUCCAAUAUUCAUCCUUCUCCAAGCUAGACCCUUCAUUUGUAAGCAAAACAAAUGUAUCCAAUUUAGGCAGCAUCAUAUUCUCAUGAACAUUAGAAUCAUUACCAAGAAACGAAAGUACCUGGUAAUUUAGUUGGCGUGCACGAGCUCUAGUAAUUGGUCCAGUAUGUAUAGCAGCAGGGGCUGUGGGUGUAACAAUUGUAUUGAUGUCCUCAUCAUCCUCCCCUUCUUGAAAUGAAGUCGUCCUCGACGGAAGUUCAUCUUCCUCACCCAAAUAAGGCUUCAAAUCUGCAAUGUUAAAAGUGGGACUAACCCCAAAAUCUGCAGGCAGCUCAAGUUUAUAUGCAUUAUCAUUUAUUUUCUCUAACACCUUAAAGGGACCAUCAGCACGUGGCAUUAGCUUUGAUUUGCGCAAAUCAGGAAAUCUAUCCUUACGCAAAUGUAACCAAACAAGAUCUCCAGGUGCAAACACAACAUGUUUUCUACCCUUAUCUCCAGCAAGUUUAUAUUUAGCAUUCAUACGCUCAAUAUUUUCCUUAGUUAACUCAUGCAUUUUUAAAAUCAAUUCAGCACGUUGUUUAGCAUCAAAAUUAACCUUCUCCGAAGAUGGAAGAGGCAACAAAUCAAUAGGUGCACGAGGUAGGAAACCAUACACAACUUCAAAAGGGCACAUCUUAGUAGUAGAAUGCAAUGAACGAUUAUAAGCAAAUUCAAUAUGAGGCAAGCAUUCCUCCCACAUUUUCUUAUUAUUCUUCAAAACAGCCCUAAGCAUAGUAGACAACAUUCUAUUGACUACUUCAGUUUGUCCAUCAGUUUGGGGGUGACAAGUAGUACUAAAAAGCAGUUUAGUCCCCAACUUAGCCCAUAAACAUCUCCAAAAGUGGCUAAGAAAUUUAGUAUCACGAUCUGAAACAAUAGUAUUGGGCACACCAUGCAAGCGAAUAAUUUCACGAAAGAACAAAUCAGCAACAUUAACAGCAUCAUCGCUUUUAUGACAUGGUAUAAAGUGUGCCAUUUUCGAGAAUCUAUCCACGACAACAAAUAUGCUAUCCCUCCCCUUCUUUGUUCGAGGUAAACCUAAAACAAAGUCCAUAGAUAUAUCCUCCCAAGGAACACUAGGUACAGGCAAAGGCAUAUAUAAACCAUGAGGAUUGAGUCAUGAGUUAGCUUUUUGACAUGUAGUGCAUCGAGCAAUAAAACGCUCAACAUCCCGUCUCAUCUUUGGCCAAAAGAAAUGUGUAGCAAGUACGUCCUCCGUCUUCUUCACGCCAAAGUGUCCCAUUAAUCCUCCUCCAUGCGCCUCCUGCAACAACAAAAGACGAACGGAGCUAGCUGGAAUGCAUAGCUUGUUAGCACGAAACACAAAUCCAUGGUUAAUGACGAACUUGUUCCACAUUCUUCCUUCUUUACAAUUCUGCAUUACAUCUUUAAAAUCAGCAUCAUGCACAUAUUGAUCUGAUGAGGACAUCAAUACAAUUGUUACACCCACAGCCCCUGCUGCUAUACAUACUGGACCAAUUACUAGAGCUCGUGCACGCCAACUAAAUUACCACGUACUUUCGUUUCUUGGUAAUGAUUCUAAUGUUCAUGAGAAUAUGAUGCUGCCUAAAUUGGAUACAUUUGUUUUGCUUACAAAUGAAGGGCCUAGCUUGGAGAAGGAUGAACAUUGGAGCAAGAACAAGCAUGGAGAUGAUGGCAUGCGCAAGGGAAACAAGAACGGAGUUACAAGUGAUGAUUUCAGGACUUUGAAGCCACCAUAAUGGGUGCAUGAAGCCUUGGACGAAAUAUACAAGAUGCCACUUCAUAAAUUUCGUCCCGAGGCUAUUUUAGGUGCUGCGUCACCUUAUUAUUGGGCCAGGCCCAUGUAAUUUCGAAAUACAUAAGUAUAGGCUAUUUUUAGAGUCCGUAUGUGUGGGGAAACAAGAGAUAGGGUUGAUUUCGGACCCCUCCACCAAGGGCCACGAAAUUCCCCCCUCUUCCUCCAUAUAUACAGCCCUUAGGGCAUCGUUUAGACUUUGGGUUUUGUUUAGAUUAAAAGUUCGCCAUAGCUGCAACUUCGCGUACUUCGUUUGUGUUCAACGACCAGACAAAGGCGUCACAGAACCCCACCUUGAUCAAUAAAGUUUUCAUCUUAUAUUCGCAAUAUCCAUAUUGCAAUCUUAGUUUCUUGCUUGUUCUUCGUUUGCUCGCAGGAAACAGACCCUCGUGGUCAGGUUGAUCGUGCUCCGGCGUGGUCAAUAACCUCUUGGAGUUGGUUUAGCGAUUGCUAAGGCGCGACGUCCUCGCACGUUCGUAGUCGGAUCGUCAAAGUCGACUUCCACCAAAGCGAAAUCCACCAUCUCAUCGAAAGACGGGACACCUUUGCCUCUAUCAUCCAAGGUAGUCAUGUACUCAUCACAAGAUAUAAGUGAAGAUCACAAUAGCAGUAGACCUAUUUAGAAGCUGAUGUUGAGGUGCCAAAUACUGAACUAUCUUCUGCAACUAUUUAGAUGCGGCUCGUCGCUAGCUUUCAUUUGAGUACUCGCGGAGCCAAAACAGACUUCAUAUGAAGAAGUUAUGCCUGUUUUACUGAACAGUGCACAAAACAGAUUCCAAUCUGAAUUCAACUACGAGAUUGAGUCUAGAUAGAUCCAAAUUUUGUUUUUUUUCUCCUCUCUUUUUUUUCUCACACUUUUUUUUUCUUUUCCCUUCUUUUUUUUUCUCUGACUUUUUUUUACUUUUUUUUUCUCAUUUUUUUUCUCUAUCUUUUUUUCUCUCUCCCUCUUUCCAAAACAAACUAGAUAAGAUGUAGAUUGGAUCAAGCGAAGAUGGGAACGAUCUCAACUAUGAUUAUGACAAUGAACUGUGGGUAGCACGUGGAGGAAAUUGAUGGAUGGGUGGUGGACAGCGGAAGGGAUAAUGAUGCAGCGGCGACGUGACUAAUGUGAACAGAACUCGAAACUCUAAACGACCUAGACACUAAGACCAGCAACUCGACACGACGAUGCAACCGAUAAUUCAACUAUGCAAGCAAUGAAAAGAAAAUUGCAAAGGCUCAGACUGGCUUGGACAAAGGAUGAAUAGAUCUAACUCUUUUUUGUGGAUUUUUUUUGGACAAUAGGUAAGAAAAUAAAUCUAAUCUAGGAAAACUAGAAAUUCUCACCGAGCAACCUGAAAACUGAUACCACUUGAUAGAGGCGAGGGUGUCCCGAUCUUUCGAUGAGAUGAUAACUAUCGAUUUGGUGGAGACGACUUUGACGAUCCGACUACAAACGUGCACGACGUUGCGCCUUAGCAAUCGCUAAACCAACUCCGAGAGGUUAUUGACCACGCUGGAGCACGAUCAACCUGACCACGAAGGUCUAUUCCUGCAAGUAAUCGAAGAACGAGCAAGAAUAUGAUAAAGCAAUCUGAAUAUUGCGAAUAUAUAUGAAGUAUUGAUAAUGGUGGGGAUCCGUAAGCGGUCUUGGUCUGGUCGUUGGACACAAACGAAGUACACGAAGUUGCACUGGCUAACUUUUAACUAAACAAAUCCCAAGGAAAAAGCUACUAGAUAGAUCUACUUAUAUAGGAGCAAGGGGUGGCGGGCAAGGAGGUGGGAGGACAUCCCAAGGCAGCCUAAAACUAACCCUAGGUCGUACAAGGCUCAUGGGCCCAAGUGGAGGUGAUGCAACACCUUUGGGCUUGUAGUUUGACUCGGAUUCUGCUGCAACGCCAGAUUGUUUCGUCCGUAACUCAACGCUCCGGACGAAUUUGAAGGUGAAUCCAAUUGGGCUGGAAAGAGCACGAAAUCUAGUUUCCAACAAAAAUCACCCAAUUCGGAGUCCGUAUGAAAAAGUUGUUGGCGUUUUGAGUCAGGUAUGUCUGUGCAGUCCGAAUCUGAAUCCAGAACGUGAGAGACUUGGACUCUAUCUUCUCUUGGCCCAAAAGUGACGUGAGAGAACUUUUUGAACAGCACUUAAACAUCUCUUUCUCCCUUAUCUUCAUAUGUGAAUUGUACAAAUAUCCCAUACACCUGCAAUUAGACAAAACACAAAAGUGUGUGAAGUAUUUUUGUUCUGGAUAACAUAAAUAGAUUUUUGAAUAGUUUGCACUAGAAAUCACCUGACAAAUAUGCAUGUAUGCAAUAUUUUUAGUCGUAUCCAAGGUAGUCAUGUCCUCAUCAGAAGAAGAAGAACGCUGUGCAGACCCCGCAGGUGCGCUCUUGGCAGAUAAUGGUGGUUGUGCCUGUUUUCUUGUAUCACGGCUGGAGGUGGCACCGGAUGGAGGUGCUGGCGCAGUUGAAGUAGAAGAUGCACGCGGUGUCCAUGAUGAAGGUCGGCCUGCAGAAAAGUUAGUUCGCCCCAAUGCUUGUCGAUCCUGCACUUCACGUUCAGCUUUACAAGCAAGAUGGAAUAAACGAGUGAUAUUAGUAUACUCCUUAUAGUCUAGAAUGGUCUGAAUCUCUCUAUUUAAUCCACCCAGAAAACGUGCAAGCAUAGCUUCAUUCUCCUCAACAAUACCACAUCUAAUCAUGCCAGUUUGUAAUUCCUGAUAAUAUUCUUCUACAGAAUUUUUUCCUUGUCUUAAACGCUGUAAUUUUUGAAGCAAUUCACGUUGAUAAUAUGGUGGAACCCAACGCGUACGCAUAGCAGUUUUCAAAGCAGACCAAGUAGUUGGAAUAGGAUAUAAUCUACAAUGUUCAGACCACCAUACACAUGCAAAACUAGUGAAAGCACAAACAGCAGCAGCAACUCGUCUCUCCUCAGGAUAUUGUAAACAUGUAAAUCGUUGUUCAGUUUCUAACUCCCAAGUAAGAUAUAUAUCAGGAACAUAUCUACCCUCAAAUGGUGGAAUAUUCAAUUUCAGUUUAGGAAUAUGGACAUCAUCUCGUACCUGAGGUGGUGGUGCAGGCCUACCAUUACGAAUAUAUACCUGAGGUCGACCUGCUGGUGGUGGUGCAGGUGGCUGCACGUAGUGCUGAUUUUGAUCAACCUCAUCCUCAUAAUCUCCCACAUAAUCAUCCUCCUCCGCAUCAGCAGCAGGAGCCACAGAAGUAUCAACAGCAGCACCAACAGUUUGGCCAAACGCAAGAGGAACACGAGUCGCUCGGCGAAGGUGAUAGAGGCGAGGGUGUCCCGAUCUUUCGAUGAGAUGAUAACUAUUGAUUUGGUGGAGACGACUUUGACGAUCCGACUACAAACGUGCACGACGUUGCGCCUUAGCAAUCGCUAAACCAACUCCGAGAGGUUAUUGACCACCCUGGAGCACGAUCAACCUGACCACGAAGGUCUAUUCCUGCAAGCAAUCGAAGAACAAGCAACAAUAUGAUAAAGCAAUCUGAAUAUUGCGAAUAUAUAUGAAGUAUUGAUAAUGGUGGGGAUCCGUAAGCGGUCUUGGUCUGGUCGUUGGACACAAACGAAGUACACGAAGUUGCAAUGGCUAACUUUUAACUAAACAAAUCCCAAGGAAAAGCUACUAGAUGGAUCUACUUAUAUAGGAGCAAGGGGUGGCGGCCAAGGAGGUGGGAGGACGUCCCAAGGCAGCCUAAAACUAAAUCUAGGUCAUACAAGGCCAAUGGGCCCAAGUGGAGGUGAUGUAACACCAUUGGACUUGUAGUUUAACUCGGAUUCUGCUGCAGCAUCAGAUUGUUUCGUCCACAACUCAACGCUCCGGACGAAUUUGAAGGUGAUUCCAAUUGGGUUGGAAAGUGCACGAAAUCUAGUUUCCAACAAAAAAAGAAUCACCCAAUUUGGAGUCCGUAUGAAAAACUUGUGUGCGUUUUGAGUCAGGUGUGUCUGUGCAGUCCGAAUCUGAAUCCAAAACGUGAGAGACUUGGACUCUAUCUUCUCUUGGGCCAAAAGUGACGUGAGAGAACUUUUUGGACAGCAAAUAAACAUCUCUUUCUUCCUUAUCUUCAUAUGUGGAUUGUACAAAUGUCCCAUACACCUGCAAUUAGACAAAACACAAAAGUGUGUGAAGUAUUUUUGUUCUGGAUAACAUAAAUAGAUUAUUGAAUAGUUUGCACUAGAAAUCACCUAACAAAUAUGCAUAUAUGCAAUAUUUUUUGUCAUAUCCAAGGUAGUCAUGUCCUCAUCAUACCACUUGAUAGAGGCGGGGUGUCCCGAUCUUUCGAUGAGAUGAUAACUAUCGAUUUGGUGGAGACGACUUUGACGAUCCGACUACAAACGUGCAACGACGUUGUGCCUUAGCAAUCGCUAAACCAACUCCGAGAGGUUAUUGACCACACCGGAGCACGAUCAACCUGACCACGAAGGUCUAUUCCUGCAAGCAAUCGAAGAACAAGCAAGAAUAUGAUAAAAGCAAUCUGAAUAUCGCGAAUAUGUAUGAAGUAUUGAUAAUGGUGGGGAUCCGAAAAGUGGUCUUGGUCUGGUCGUUGGACACAAACGAAGCACACGAAGUUGCAAUGGCUAACUUUUAACUAAACAAAUCCCAAGGAAAAGCUACUAGAUGGAUCUACUUAUAUAGGAGCAAGGGGUGGCGGCCAAGGAGGUGGGAGGACGUCCCAAGGCAGCCUAAAACUAAAUCUAGGUCGUACAAGGCCAAUGGGCCCAAGUGGAGGUGAUGUAACACCUUUGGACUUGUAGUUUGACUCGGAUUCUGCUGCAGCAUCAGAUUGUUUCGUCCACAACUCAACGCUCCGGACGAAUUUGAAGGUGAUUCCAAUUGGGUUGGAAAGUGCACGACAUCUAGUUUCCAAAAAAAAAGAAUCACCCAAUUCGGAGUCCGUAUGAAAAACUUGUGUGCGUUUUGAGUCAGGUGUGUCUGUGCAGUCCGAAUCUGAAUCCAGAACGUGAGAGACUUGGACUCUAUCUUCUCUUGGGCCAAAAGUGACGUGAGAGAACUUUUUGGACAGCAAAUAAACAUCUCUUUCUUCCUUAUCUUCAUAUGUGGAUUGUACAAAUGUCCCAUACACCUGCAAUUAGACAAAACACAAAAGUGUGUGAAGUAUUUUUGUUCUGGAUAACAUAAAUAGAUUAUUGAAUAGUUUGCACUAGAAAUCACCUGACAAAUAUGCAUAUAUGCAAUAUUUUUGGUCAUAUCCAAGGUAGUCAUGUCCUCAUCAUCCUCCCCUUCUUGAAAAUAAAGCCGUCCUCGGCGUUGCUUAAUCUGAAAUGUGGCUAACAAAAAAGACAAGGUGUACAUGUUGUAUAUGUAUAUGUCAUCCAUUUUUACUUCCCUUGAUUUUUGCAUAUAUGACACAUGAAUAGAUGAGUAACUUGUAUAGUUCAUAAAAUCUAAAGCCAAAAAAUUAGCACAAGAAGUAGAAGGCAUGAAAAUAUUGCAACUCAGUUUGCACAUAUAAGUGAAGCUCUUAUUCAUUUCAAAAGAUUGACAAUGUUCAUCAUUAAACCAUCCCAACAUUGGUGAAUAAACCUUACUUGCAUCAAAUUUACAUGCUACAACAUGCUUAAAUAAGCAAACAUGCAAUAAGUCAUUCAACACAGAAUCAUCACCAAGAUUAGAGGUCAUAUCAAAAUGAUUAAACAUUGGUUCUUUUGCAUCAAUAGUUAAUUCAAUGGGUGCACUCAAAAUUGUUGGUAUUUCAGUUGUUUGAUCACAUGGCAAAGUCAAAUUAUCAACGUAGUCCUCUAAAAUAGGUGGUGUGAUCAAAGUAGUGCGUAGCUCAUCAGAUGGUGUGAUAGAGGCAAAGGUGUCCCGUCUUUCGAUGAGAUGAUGGAUUUCGCUUUGGUGGAAGUCGACUUUGACGAUCCGACUACGAACGUGCGAGGACGUCGCGCCUUAGCAAUCGCUAAACCAACUCCGAGAGGUUAUUGACCACGCCGGAGCACGAUCAACCUGACCACGAGGGUCUGUUUCCUGCGAGCAAACGAAGAACAAGCAAGAAACUGAGAUUGCAAUCUGGAUAUUGCGAAUAUAAGAUGAAAGCUUUAUUGAUCAAGGUGGGGUUCUGUGACGCCUUUGUCUGGUCGUUGAACACAAACGAAGUACGCGAAGUUGCAGCUAUGGCGAACUUUUAAUCUAAACAAAACCCAAAGUCUAAACGAUGCCCUAAGGGCUGUAUAUAUGGAGGAAGAGGGGGGAAAUUUCGUGGCCCUUGGUGGAGGGGUCCGAAAUCAACCCUAUCUCUUGUUUCCCCACACAUACGGACUCUAAAAAUAGCCUAUACUUAUGUAUUUCGAAAUUACAUGGGCCUGGCCCAAUAAUAAGGUGACGCAGCACCUAAAAUAGCCUCGGAACGAAAUUUAUGAAGUGGCAUCUUGUAUAUUUCGUCCAAGGCUUCAUGCACCCAUUAUGGUGGCUUCAAAGUCCUGAAAUCAUCACUUGUAACUCCGUUCUUGUUCUUGCUCCAAUGUUCAUCCUUCUCCAAGCUAGGCCCUUCAUUUGUAAGCAAAACAAAUGUAUCCAAUUUAGGCAGCAUCAUAUUCUCAUGAACAUUAGAAUCAUUACCAAGAAACGAAAGUACCGGGUAGUUUAGUUGGCGUGCACGAGCUCUAGUAAUUGGUCCAGUAUGUAUAGCAGCAGGGGCUGUGGGUGUAACAAUUGUAUUGAUGUCCUCAUCAUCCUCCCCUUCUUGAAAUGAAGUCGUCCUCGACGGAAGUUCAUCUUCCUCACCCAAAUAAGGCUUCAAAUCUGCAAUGUUAAAAGUGGGACUAACCCCAAAAUCUGCAGGCAGCUCAAGUUUAUAUGCAUUAUCAUUUAUUUUCUCUAACACCUUAAAGGGACCAUCAGCACGUGGCAUUAACUUUGAUUUGCGCAAAUCAGGAAAUCUAUCCUUACGCAAAUGUAACCAAACAAGAUCUCCAGGUGCAAACAUAACAUGUUUUCUACCCUUAUCUCCAGCAAGUUUAUAUUUAGCAUUCAUACGCUCAAUGUUUUCCUUAGUUAACUCAUGCAUUUUUAAAAUCAAUUCAGCACGUUGUUUAGCAUCAAAAUUAACCUUCUCCGAAGAUGGAAGAGGCAACAAAUCAAUAGGUGCACGAGGUAGGAAACCAUACACAACUUCAAAAGGGCACAUCUUAGUAGUAGAAUGCAAUGAACGAUUAUAAGCAAAUUCAAUAUGAGGCAAGCAUUCCUCCCACAUUUUCUUAUUAUUCUUCAAAACAGCCCUAAGCAUAGUAGACAACGUUCUAUUGACUACUUCAGUUUGUCCAUCAGUUUGGGGGUGACAAGUAGUACUAAAAAGCAGUUUAGUCCCCAACUUAGCCCAUAAACAUCUCCAAAAAUGGCUAAGAAAUUUAGUAUCACGAUCUGAAACAAUAGUAUUUGGCACACCAUGCAAGCGAAUAAUUUCACGAAAGAACAAAUCAGCAACAUUAACAGCAUCAUCGCUUUUAUGACAUGGUAUAAAGUGUGCGAUUUUCGAGAAUCUAUCCACGACAACAAAUAUGCUAUCCCUCCCCUUCUUUGUUCGAGGUAAACCUAAAACAAAGUCCAUAGAUAUAUCCUCCCAAGGAACACUAGGUACAGGCAAAGGCAUAUAUAAACCAUGAGGAUUGAGUCGUGACUUAGCUUUUUGACAUGUAGUGCAUCGAGCAAUAAAACGCUCAACAUCCCGUCUCAUCUUUGGCCAAAAGAAAUGUGUAGCAAGUACGUCCUCCGUCUUCUUCACGCCAAAAUGUCCCAUUAAUCCUCCUCCAUGCGCUUCCUGCAACAACAAAAGACGAACGGAGCUAGCUGGAAUGCAUAGCUUGUUAGCACGAAACACAAAUCCAUCGUUAACGACAAACUUGUUCCACAUUCUUCCUUCUUUACAAUUCUGCAUUACAUCUUUAAAAUCAGCAUCAUGCACAUAUUGAUCUUUGAUGGUCUCCAAACCAAAUAUUUUGAAGUCAAGUUGUGAAAGCAUAGUAUAGCGACGAGACAAUGCAUCAGCAAUAACAUUUUCUUUUCCCUUCUUGUGUUUAAUGACAUAAGGGAAAGUCUCAAUGAAUUCAACCCAUUUAGCAUGUCUACGAUUCAGUUUAGCUUGACUUUUAAUAUGUUUCAAAGAUUCAUGAUCAGAAUGUAUAACAAAUUCUUUGGGCCAUAAACAAGUCCGAACAAGAGCAUAUAAUUCUUUAUCAUAAGUAGAAUAAUUCAGACUAGGCCCACUCAAUUUUUUAGAAAAGUAUGCAACAGUUUUACCAUCUUGUAAUAACACACCUCCUAAUCCAAUUCCACUAGCAUCACAUUCAAGCUCAAAAGUCUUAUUAAAAUCAGGAAGUUGGAGUAAAGGAGCAUGUGUCAACUUAUCUUUCAAUACCGUGAAGGCUUCUUCCUGUGCGGUACCCCAAAGAAAAGGCACAUCCUUCUUUGUAAGUUCGUUGAGAGGUGCAACAAUGGUGCUGAAAUCUCUCACAAAACGCCUAUAGAAUCCAGCGAGGCCAAGAAAACUCCUCACUUGUGUGACCGUUUUGGGUUGUGGCCAACUCUCAAUAGCAAGGAAACACGAAUCGGAAUCUACUUUCGUUUCUUGGUAAUGAUUCUAAUGUUCAUGAGAAUAUGAUGCUGCCUAAAUUGGAUACAUUUGUUUUGCUUACAAAUGAAGGGCCUAGCUUGGAGAAGGAUGAACAUUGGAGCAAGAACAAGCAUGGAGAUGAUGGCAUGCGCAAGGGGAACAAGAACGGAGUUACAAGUGAUGAUUUCAGGACUUUGAAGCCACCAUAAUGGGUGCAUGAAGCCUUGGACGAAAUAUACAAGAUGCCACUUCAUAAAUUUCGUCCCGAGGCUAUUUUAGGUGCUGCGUCACCUUAUUAUUGGGCCAGGCCCAUGUAAUUUCGAAAUACAUAACUAUAGGCUAUUUUUAGAGUCCGUAUGUGUGGGGAAACAAGAGAUAGGGUUGAUUUCGGACCCCUCCACCAAGGGCCACGAAAUUCCCCCCUCUUCCUCCAUAUAUACAGCCCUUAGGGCAUCGUUUAGACUUUGGGUUUUGUUUAGAUUAAAAGUUCGCCAUAGCUGCAACUUCGCGUACUUCGUUUGUGUUCAACGACCAGACAAAGGCGUCACAGAACCCCACCUUGAUCAAUAAAGCUUUCAUCUUAUAUUCGCAAUAUCCAGAUUGCAAUCUUAGUUUCUUGCUUGUUCUUCGUUUGCUCGCAGGAAACAGACCCUCGUGGUCAGGUUGAUCGUGCUCCGGCGUGGUCAAUAACCUCUCGGAGUUGGUUUAGCGAUUGCUAAGGCGCGACGUCCUCGCACGUUCGUAGUCGGAUCGUCAAAGUCGACUUCCACCAAAGCGAAAUCCACCAUCUCAUCGAAAGACGGGACACCUCCGCCUCUAUCAAUCUUACUUGGGAGUUAGAAACUGAACAACGAUUUACAUGUUUACAAUAUCCUGAGGAGAGACGAGUUGCUGCUGCCGUUUGUGCUUUCACUAGUUUUGCAUGUGUAUGGUGGUCUGAACAUUGUAGAUUAUAUCCUAUUCCAACUACUUGGGCUGCUUUGAAAACUGCUAUGCGUACGCGUUGGGUUCCACCAUAUUAUCAACGUGAAUUGCUUCAAAAAUUGCAGCGUUUAAGACAAGGGAAAAAUUCUGUAGAAGAAUAUUAUCAGGAAUUACAAACUGGCAUGAUUAGAUGUGGUAUUGUUGAGGAGAAUGAAGCUAUGCUUGCACGUUUUCUGGGUGGAUUAAAUAGAGAGAUUCAGACCAUUCUAGACUAUAAGGAGUAUACUAAUAUCACUCGUUUAUUUCAUCUUGCUUGUAAAGCUGAACGUGAAGUGCAGGAUCGACAAGCAUUGGGGCGAACUAACUUUUCUGCAGGCCGACCUUCAUCAUGGACACCACGUGCAUCUUCUACUUCAACUGCACCAGCACCUCCAUCCGGUGCCACCUCCAGCCGUGAUACAAGAAAACAGGCACAACCACCAUUAUCUGCCAAGAGCACACCUGCGGGGCCUGCACAGCGUUCUUCUUCUUCCAUGGCAUCAACAGGGCACACAAGUGAUAUUAUUUGUCGCCGUUGUAAGGGAGGAGGUCAUUAUGCGAGGGAAUGCAAAUCUCCGCGUGUGAUGAUUGCUACUGCGGAUGGUGGAUAUGAGUCCGCUAGUGACUAUGAUGAGGAGACAUUGGCUCUUAUUACACGUGAAGAACAUGGUGGAGAUGAUUCUGAUCAUGAGACGCAAUACAUGGCUCCUGAAGACGCUGACAGGUAUGAAUGUUUAGUUGCUCAACGUGUUUUGAGUGUGCAGGUCACACAAGCUGAGCAAAAUCAGAGGCACAAUUUGUUCCAUACCAAGGGAGUUGUGAAGGAACGUUCUGUGCGCGUCAUAAUAGACGGAGGGAGCUGCAACAACUUGGCUAGCAUGGAGAUGGUGGAGAAGCUUUCUCUCACCACACGACCACAUCCACAUCCUUACUACAUCCAAUGGUUCAACAACAGCGGCAAGGUUAAGGUAACACGUACUGUUCGUGUGCAUUUUAGUAUCUCUACAUAUGCUGAUUAUGUUGAUUGUGAUGUGGUACCUAUGCAAGCAUGUUCCUUAUUACUUGGUAGACCUUGGCAAUUUGAUAAAAAUUCUGUACACCAUGGUAGAAACAAUCACUAUACUCUUGUUCAUAAGGAUAAAAAUAUUACUUUGCUUCCUAUGACUCCUGAUUCCAUUUUGAAAGAUGAUAUUAAUAGAGCUAAUAAAGCAAAACAUGAGACGAAUAAGAGUGAAAAUCAGAUUGUGGCAAAAGAAUUUGAGCAACAAAUGAAGCCUAAUAAUAAACCAUCUAGUGUUGCUUCUGAAAUUAAAUUGAAAAGUGCAUGUUUAUUUGCCACCAAAUCUGAUAUUGAUGAGCUAGAUUUCAGCAAAUCUGUUUGCUAUGCUUUUGUGUGCAAAGAGGCAUUAUUUUCAUUCGAGGACGUGCCUUCCUCUUUGCCUCCUGCUGUCACUAACAUUUUGCAGGAGUUCGCUGACGUCUUUCCACAAGACGUGCCACCGGGAUUACCGCCUAUUCGAGGGAUUGAGCAUCAAAUUGACUUAAUUCCCGGUGCUUCACUGCCAAACCGUGCACCAUACCGUACCAAUCCAGAGGAGACGAAGGAGAUUAUGCGUCAAGUACUACUUGAUAGAGACGAGGGUCCCGAUCUUUCGAUGAGAUGAUAACUAUCGAUUUGAUGGAGACGACUUUCACGAUCCGACUACAAAUGUGCACGACGUUGCACCUUAGCAAUCGCUAAACCGAUCUCCUGAGGUUACUGACGAUGCUGGAAGCACGGUCAGCCUGACCACGAAGGUCUAUUCCUGCAAGCAAUCGAAGAACGAGCAAGAAUAUGAUAAAGCAAUCUGAAUAUUGCAAAUAUAUAUGAAGUAUUGAUAAUGGUGGGGAUCCGGAAGCGGUCUUGGUCUGGUCGUUGGACACAAACGAAGUACACGAAGUUGCAAUGGCUAACUUUUAACUAAACAAAUCCCAAAGUCUAAACGAUGCCCUAAGGGCUGUAUAUAUGGAGGAAGAGGGGGGGAAUUUCGUGGCCCUUGGUGGAGGAGUCCGAAAUCAACCCUAUCUCUUGUUUCCCCACACAUACGGACUCUAAAAAUAGCCUAUACUUAUGUAUUUCGAAAUUACAUGGGCCUGGCCCAAUAAUAAGGUGACGCAGCACCUAAAAUAGCCUCGGGACGAAAUUUAUGAAGUGGCAUCUUGUAUAUUUCGUCCAAGGCUUCAUGCACCCAUUAUGGUGGCUUCAAAGUCCUGAAAUCAUCACUUGUAACUCCGUUCUUGUUCCCCUUGCGCAUGCCAUCAUCUCCAUGCUUGUUCUUGCUCCAAUGUUCAUCCUUCUCCAAGCUAGGCCCUUCAUUUGUAAACAAAACAAAUGUAUCCAAUUUAGGCAGCAUCAUAUUCUCAUGAACAUUAGAAUCAUUACCAAGAAACGAAAGUACCUGGUAAUUUAGUUGGCGUGCACGAGCUCUAGUAAUUGGUCCAGUAUGUAUAGUAGCAGGGGCUGUGGGUGUAACAAUUGUAUUGAUGUCCUCAUCAGUACCACAUCACAAUCAACAUAAUCAGCAUAUGUAGAGAUACUAAAAUGCACACGAACAGUACGUGUUACCUUAACCUUGCCGCUGUUGUUGAACCAUUGGAUGUAGUAAGGAUGUGGAUGUGGUCUUGUGGUGAGAGAAAGCUUCUCCACCAUCUCCAUGCUAGCCAAGUUGUUGCAGCUCCCUCCGUCUAUUAUGACGCGCACAGAACGUUCCUUCACAACUCCCUUGGUAUGGAACAAAUUGUGCCUCUGAUUUUGCUCAGCUUGUGUGACCUGCACACUCAAAACACGUUGAGCAACUAAACAUUCAUACAUGUCAGCGUCUUCAGGAGCCAUGUAUUGCGUCUCAUGAUCAGAAUCAUCUCCACCAUGUUCUUCACGUGUAAUAAGAGCCAAUGUCUCCUCAUCAUAGUCACUAGCGGACUCAUAUCCACCAUCUGCAGUAGCAAUCAUCACACGCGGAGAUUUGCAUUCCCUCGCAUAAUGACCUCCUCCCUUACAACGACGACAAAUAAUAUCACUUGUGUGCCCUGUUGAUGCCAUGGAAGAAGAAGAACGCUGUGCAGGCCCCGCAGGUGUGCUCUUGGUAGAUAAUGGUGGUUGUGCCUGUUUUCUUGUAUCACGGCUGGAGGUGGCACCGGAUGGAGGUGCUGGUGCAGUUGAAGUAGAAGAUGCACGUGGUGUCCAUGAUGAAGGUCGGCCUGCAGAAAAGUUAGUUCGCCCUAAUGCUUGUCGAUCCUGCACUUCACGUUCAGCUUUACAAGCAAGAUGGAAUAAACGAGUGAUAUUAGUAUACUCCUUAUAGUCUAGAAUGGUCUGAAUCUCUCUAUUUAAUCCACCCAGAAAACGUGCAAGCAUAGCUUCAUUCUCCUCAACAAUACCACAUCUAAUCAUGCCAGUUUGUAAUUCCUGAUAAUAUUCUUCUACAGAAUUUUUUCCUUGUCUUAAACGCUGCAAUUUUUGAAGCAAUUCACGUUGAUAAUAUGGUGGAACCCAACGCGUACGCAUAGCAGUUUCCAAAGCAGCCCAAGUAGUUGGAAUAGGAUAUAAUCUACAAUGUUCAGACCACCAUACACAUGCAAAACUAGUGAAAGCACAAACAGCAGCAACAACUCGUCUCUCCUCAGGAUAUUGUAAACAUGUAAAUCGUUGUUCAGUUUCUAACUCCCAAGUAAGAUAUAUAUCAGGAACAUAUCUACCCUCAAAUGGUGGAAUAUUCAAUUUCAGUUUAGGAAUAUGGACAUCAUCUCGUACCUGAGGUGGUGGUGGUGCAGGCCUACCAUUACGAAUAUAUACCUGAGGUCGACCUGCUGGUGGUGGUGCUGGUGGCUGCUCGUAGAUCUGAUUUUGAUCAACCUCAUCCUCAUAAUCGCCCGCAUACUCAUCAUCCUCCUGGGUACCAGCAACAGCAGUAGCAGGAGCCACAGAAGUAUCAACAGCAGCACCAACAGUUUGGCCAAAUGCAAGAGGAACACGGCUCGCUCGGCGAAGGUCUGCUUCGCGACGUGGAGGUAGUCGUUGUUGUUGUUGUUGGAGAGGUGCGUUAGGUGCAGCGGGUGGUGGUGGUGGAAGACGCGCGAGCAAUUCAUUAAAUCUGUUAUCGAGCUUUGUUUCGAACGUCUUCUCAAGGCCAGUGAUCUUCUCCAUGGCCUCUUCAAAAUUGUUCAGCACAUCUUGCACCUGUUCAGUCAUCAUUUGCUGAAACUUAUCAUGAAGCUCCUUGUUCGAUAAAUUCUCCCAGUCAAUCUCGUCGGCUUGUGAUCCUGGCAUGGUUAGCAGCAAUAGAAACACACAAGAAUAUGAUCCUACAGACUAUGAACAAGUGGUGGUGGUGGGUGUCACAAAUCCGUCAAGCAAAACUCAAAUUCUUACCAGUUCUUACCCAGCAGCAGGCGGUGAUCGGCAACCGUUGUAGUCAAAAACUCUCAAAGCUUGGAUAGAGCGAUUACCAGGGAGAGUCAAACACACGACGUAGAUGUAUGUGGAGCUGGGAAGUGAUGAGGACAUCAAUACAAUUGUUACACCCACAGCCCCUGCUGCUAGACAUACUGGACCAAUUACUAGAGCUCGUGCACGCCAACUAAAUUACCAGGUACUUUCGUUUCUUGGUAAUGAUUCUAAUGUUCAUGAGAAUAUGAUGCUGCCUAAAUUGGAUACAUUUGUUUUGCUUACAAAUGAAGGGUCUAGCUUGGAGAAGGAUGAACAUUGGAGCAAGAACAAGCAUGGAGAUGAUGGCAUGCACAAGGGGAACAAGAACGGAGUUACAAGUGAUGAUUUCAGGACUUUGAAGCCACCAUAAUGGGUGCAUGAAGCCUUGGACGAAAUAUACAAGAUGCCACUUCAUAAAUUUCGUCCCGAGGCUAUUUUAGGUGCUGCGUCACCUUAUUAUUGGGCCAGGCCCAUGUAAUUUCGAAAUACAUAAGUAUGGGCUAUUUUUAGAGUCCGUAUGUGUGGGGAAACAAGAGAUAGGGUUGAUUUCGGACCCCUCCACCAAGGGCCACGAAAUUCCCCCCUCUUCCUCCAUAUAUACAGCCCUUAGGGCAUCGUUUAGACUUUGGGUUUUGUUUAGAUUAAAAGUUCGCCAUAGCUGCAACUUCGCGUACUUCGUUUGUGUUCAACGACCAGACAAAGGCGUCACAGAACCCCACCUUGAUCAAUAAAGCUUUCAUCUUAUAUUCGCAAUAUCCAGAUUGCAAUCUUAGUUUCUUGCUUGUUCUUCGUUUGCUCGCAGGAAACAGACCCUCGUGGUCAGGUUGAUCGUGCUCCGGCGUGGUCAAUAACCUCUCGGAGUUGGUUUAGCGAUUGCUAAGGCGCGACGUCCUCGCACGUUCGUAGUCGGAUCGUCAAAGUCGACUUCCACCAAAGCGAAAUCCACCAUCUCAUCGAAAGACGGGACACCUCCGCCUCUAUCAUGUGCCCUGUUGAUGCUAUGGAAGAAGAAGAACGCUGUGUAGGCCCCGCAGGUGCGCUCUUGGCAGAUAAUGGUGGUUGUGCCUGUUUUCUUGUAUCACGGCUGGAGGUGGCACCUGAUGGAAGUGCUGGUGCAGUUGAAGUAGAAGAUGCACGUGGUGUCCAUGAUGAAGGUCGGCCUGCAGAAAAGUUAGUUCGCCCCAAUGCUUGUCGAUCCUGCACUUCACGUUCAGCUUUACAAGCAAGAUGGAAUAAACGAGUGAUAUUAGUAUACUCCUUAUAGUCUAGAAUGGUCUGAAUCUCUCUAUUUAAUCCACCCAGAAAACGUGCAAGCAUAGCUUCAUUCUCCUCAACAAUACCACAUCUAAUCAUGCCAGUUUGUAAUUCCUGAUAAUAUUCUUCUACAGAAUUUUUUCCUUGUCUUAAACGCUGCAAUUUUUGAAGCAAUUCACAUUGAUAAUAUGGUGGAACCCAACGCGUACGCAUAGCAGUUUUCAAAGCAGCCCAAGUAGUUGGAAUAGGAUAUAAUCUACAAUGUUCAGACCACCAUACACAUGCAAAACUAGUGAAAGCACAAACGGCAGCAGCAACUCGUCUCUCCUCAGGAUAUUGUAAACAUGUAAAUCGUUGUUCAGUUUCUAACUCCCAAGUAAGAUAUAUAUCAGGAACAUAUCUACCCUCAAAUGGUGGAAUAUUCAAUUUCAGUUUAGGAAUAUGGACAUCAUCUCGUACCUGAGGUGGUGGUGCAGGCCUACCAUUACGAAUAUAUACCUGAGGUCGACCUGCUGGUGGUGGUACAGGUGGCUGCACGUAGUGUUGAUUUUGAUCAACCUCAUCCUCAUAAUCUCCCACAUAAUCAUCCUCCUCCGCAUCAGCAGCAGGAGCCACAGAAGUAUCAACAGCAGCACCAACAGUUUGGCCAAACGCGAGAGGAACACGGCUUGCUCGGCGGAGGUCUGCUUCGCGACGUGGAGGUAGUCGUUGUUGUUGUUGUUGGAGAGGUGCGUUAGGUGCAGCGGGUGGUGGUGGUGGAAGACGCGCGAGCAAUUCAUUAAAGUUGUUAUCGAGCUUUGUUUCGAACGUCUUCUCAAGGCCAGUGAUCUUCUCCAUGGCCUCUUCAAAAUUGUUCAGCACAUCUUGCACCUGUUCAGUCAUCAUUUGCUGAAACUUAUCAUGAAGCUCCUUGUUCGAUAAAUUCUCCCAGUCAAUCUCGUCGGCUUGUGAUCCUGGCAUGGUUAGCAGCAAUAGAAACACACAAGAAUAUGAUCCUACAGACUACGAACAAGUGGUGGUGGUGGGUGUCACAAAUCCGUCAAGCAAAUCUCAAAUUCUUACCAGUUCUUACCCAGCAGCAGGCGGUGAUCGGCAACCGUUGUAGUCAAAAACUCUCAAAGCUUGGAUAGAGCGAUUACCAGGGAGAGUCAAACGCACGACGUAGAUGUAUGUGGAGCUGGGAAGGCUUAUAAUAUGGUAGCAAAAAGGGUCAGCAAUAAUGAUAGAGGCAAAGGUGUCCCGUCUUUCGAUGAGAUGAUGGAUUUCGCUUUGGUGGAAGUCGACUUUGACGAUCCGACUACGAACGUGCGAGGACGUCGCGCCUUAGCAAUCGCUAAACCAACUCCGAGAGGUUAUUGACCACGCCGGAGCACGAUCAACCUGACCACGAGGGUCUGUUUCCUGCGAGCAAACGAAGAACAAGCAAGAAACUGAGAUUGCAAUCUGGAUAUUGCGAAUAUAAGAUGAAAGCUUUAUUGAUCAAGGUGGGGUUCUGUGACGCCUUUGUCUGGUCGUUGAACACAAACGAAGUACGCGAAGUUGCAGCUAUGGCGAACUUUUAAUCUAAACAAAACCCAAAGUCUAAACGAUGCCCUAAGGGCUGUAUAUAUGGAGGAAGAGGGGGGAAAUUUCGUGGCCCUUGGUGGAGGGGUCCGAAAUCAACCCUAUCUCUUGUUUCCCCACACAUACGGACUCUAAAAAUAGCCUAUACUUAUGUAUUUCGAAAUUACAUGGGCCUGGCCCAAUAAUAAGGUGACGCAGCACCUAAAAUAGCCUCGGAACGAAAUUUAUGAAGUGGCAUCUUGUAUAUUUCGUCCAAGGCUUCAUGCACCCAUUAUGGUGGCUUCAAAGUCCUGAAAUCAUCACUUGUAACUCCGUUCUUGUUCUUGCUCCAAUGUUCAUCCUUCUCCAAGCUAGGCCCUUCAUUUGUAAGCAAAACAAAUGUAUCCAAUUUAGGCAGCAUCAUAUUCUCAUGAACAUUAGAAUCAUUACCAAGAAACGAAAGUACCUGGUAGUUUAGUUGGCGUGCACGAGCUCUAGUAAUUGGUCCAGUAUGUAUAGCAGCAGGGGCUGUGGGUGUAACAAUUGUAUUGAUGUCCUCAUCAUGGUGCAUUCAAAUUGACAAGGCAUUCAUCAUUCUCAUGUAGAGAUGGAAGAUCAGUACCUUUGUCAUUACCUCUUAUGAUCAACUUAGAUGAUGUAGCCACUCUCGGGGGCGAUGUGUCACAUGGUGGAGGUGAUGUAGUCCUGACAACAACGGAUGUGGUUGUCAUAGUAUGCCUAGUAGUUGAAGGAACAAUCAUAUCAACUCUUGGAAUGUGCACUGUGCGCUUGUUCUCCUCGUGGCCAACACGUCGUUUUAUUUCCUGUUCAGCUUUGCAAGCAAGAUGAAACAAAUGGUCCAUAGGAUAACACUCUUCAUGAAUUAGUAUCUCUUGAAUAUCACGGUUUAAUCCUCCCCAAAAUCUAUCCAUAAAAUCAUCUUCACUUUCUUCUAAAGAGGAAUGCAACAAGGUAGUUUGUAGAUCAUCAUAAUAUUUUGUUACAGUUUCACUACCUUGUUUUAAGUGUUGCAACUUCUUAAUCAUGUCACGAGUAUAAUAAGCAGGGACGAAAGUAUGUCGCAUGGCAAGUUUCAAAUCAUCCCAAGUAGUAGGUAUAUAAUCAGGGUGUAACCGACAAUAUUCACUCCACCAAACCAAAGCAUAACCAGUGAAAGAACCAACCGCAACCUUAACCUUUUUAUGUUCAUCGAAAUUAUGGGAAGCAAAUAUAUUUUUUAUGUCGAACUCCCAUUCUAUAUAUAAAGCAGGUUUAAAACGACCAUUAAAUGGUGGUGUAGAUACAUUAACCUGAUCAUGUGCAUUUGGAUGUUUGUGCACCUCUCGUGACGGUUGUGGUAUUUGCAAAGGUGGUGGCACGUCUCCCGCGAUCGACAAAGCCCAUGAAUUGACUCUGGAUCCUGUCAUGAUUAGUAGAACAAGAAACAAAACCCAAAAAUAUGUUCCUAUAACUACUAGGAUGUGGUGGUAAAACGCUCACAGUAAAGCAAAUAUCAAUGUCUUACAAGUUCUUACCAUGCAGCAGGCGGUGAUCGGCAACCAGCGGUGUCAAGUAACUCCGAAUAUUGAGUAAAGCGAUUGCCAGGGGAGCGUACGUAUACACGGUGUAGAAAUAUGUGGAGCUGGGUUGGCUAUAUAUGGUAGCAAAAGAUUAGCAAUAAUCAAUUCAAAGAUGCAAUGUUGAAUAAACGUUCAACGACGGUACUCUGCUGGUCCUAGGCUAGACCGUACUAGAGACGCGAGCCUAGAACACUAAUGAGGUCACGACGUAGCACAACUAGCAUCAAUGAAGGAUACUAAGUAGCUCUUGACAGUAAGAUAUAAGUGAAGAUCACAACGGCAGUGAAGAUAAUUAUGAAAAACAACUGCCAAGGAGGAUAUACAACAACUCUCUCUCCAACUUUCCUCUUGAAAAGUUUGAGACAAUUUUUUGAUAAAUUCUUUCAAGGAAUGCUACUAACUCAAGCUUUCCAAUGCAAAAAGAAUCACUCAAUUCCGAGUUGAUAUGAGGAGUCAAAGAAUUCUAAAACUAGCCUGAAAAAUUGGAACAAGUUGUGUUCACAAACUUCGGAGGGCAAAAAGACCUAAUUAGAAGCCGAUUUUGAGGUGUCAAAUAUUGAACUAGCUUCUGCAACUAUCUAGAUGCGGCUCGUCGCUAUCUUCAAUUUGAGUACUCAAGGAGCCAAAACUGACUUCGUAUGAGGAAGAUACACCUGUUUUACUGAACAGUGCGCAAAACAGAUUCCAAUCCGAAUUCAGGUACGAGAUUGAUUCUAGAUAGAUCCAAUUUUUUUUCUCUCCUUUUUUUUCUCACGCUUUUAUUUCUUUUUCUUCUCUCUCUUUUUCUUUUUUUUCUUUCCUUUUUUCUCUUUUUUUUCUCUCUCUUUUUUUUUCUCCCUCUUUCCAAGACAAACUAGAUAAGAUGCGGAUUGGAUCAGGCGAAGAUGUGAAUGACCUCAACUAUGAUUAUGACAAUGAACAGUGCGUAGCACAUGGUGGAAAUUAAUAGAUGGGAUGGUGGACGGCGGAAGGGAUAAUGAUGCAGCGGCGGCGUGACUAAUGUGAACAGAACUCGAAACUCUAAAAGAACUAGACACUAAGACCAGCAACUGACACGACGAUGCAACCGAUAAUUCAACUAUGCAAGCAACGAAUAGAAAAUUGCAAAGGCUCAGACUGGCUUGGAUAAAGGAUGAACAGAUCUAACUUUUUUUUUGUGGCUUUUUCUUGGACAAUAGGUAAGAAAAAAAUUUAAUCUAGGAAAAACUGGAAAUUCUCACCGAGCAACCUGAAAACUGAUACCACUUGAUAAAGGCGAGGGUGUCCCGAUCUUUCGAUGAGAUGAUAACUAUUGAUUUGGUGGAGACGACUUUGACGAUCCGACUACAAACGUGCACGACGUUGCGCCUUAGCAAUCGCUAAACCAACUCCGAGAGGUUAUUGACCACGCUGGAGCACGAUCAACCUGACCACGAAGGUCUAUUCCUGCAAGCAAUCGAAGAACAAGCAAGAAUAUGAUAAAGCAAUCUGAAUAUUGCGAAUAUAUAUGAAUUAUUGAUAAUGGUGGGGAUCCGUAAGCGGUCUUGGUCUGGUCGUUGGACACAAACGAAGUACACGAAGUUGCAAUGGCUAACUUUUAACUAAACAAAUCCCAAGGAAAAGCUACUAGAUGGAUCUACUUAUAUAGGAGCAAGGGGUGGCGGCCAAGGAGGUGGGAGGACGUCCCAAGGCAGCCUAAAACUAAAUCUAGGUCAUACAAGGCCAAUGGGCCCAAGUGGAGGUGAUGUAACACCUUUGGACUUGUAGUUUAACUCGGAUUCUGCUGCAGCAUCAGAUUGUUUCGUCCACAACUCAACGCUCCGGACGAAUUUGAAGGUGAUUCCAAUUGGGUUGGAAAGUGCACGAAAUCUAGUUUCCAACAAAAAAAGCAUCACCCAAUUUGGAGUCCGUAUGAAAAACUUGUGUGCAUUUUGAGUCAGGUGUGUCUGUGCAGUCCGAAUCUGAAUCCAAAACGUGAGAGACUUGGACUCUAUCUUCUCUUGGGCCAAAAGUGACGUGAGAGAACUUUUUGGACAGCAGAUAAACAUCUCUUUCUUCCUUAUCUUCAUAUGUGGAUUGUGCAAAUGUCCCAUACACCUGCAAUUAGACAAAACACAAAAGUGUGUGAAGUAUUUUUGUUCUGGAUAACAUAAAUAGAUUAUUGAAUAGUUUGCACUAGAAAUCACCUGACAAAUAUGCAUAUAUGCAAUAUUUUUGGUCAUAUCCAAGGUAGUCAUGUCCUCAUCAGAAGGUCUGUUUCGCGAUGUGGAGGUAGUCGUUGUUGUUGUUGUUGGAGAGGUGCGUUAGAUGCAGCGGGUGGUGGUGGUGGAAGACGCGUGAGCAAGUCAUUAAACUUGUUAUCGAGCUUUGUUUCGAACGUCUUCUCAAGGCCAGUGAUCUUCUCCAUGGCCUCUUCAAAAUUGUUCAGCACAUCUUGCACCUGUUCAGUCAUCAUUUGCUGAAACUUAUCAUGAAGCUCCUUGUUUGAUAAAUUCUCCCAGUCAAUCUCGUCGGCUUGUGAUCCUGGCAUGGUUAGCAGCAAUAGAAACACACAAGAAUAUGAUCCUACAGACUACGAACAAGUGGUGGUGGUGGGUGUCACAAACCCGUCAAGCAAAACUCAAAUUCUUACCAGUUCUUACCCAGCAACAGGCGAUGAUCGGCAACCGUUGUAGUCAAAACUCUCAAAGCUUGGAUAGAGUGAUUACCAGGGAGAGUCAAAGGCACGACGUAGAUGUAUGUGGAGCUGGGAAGGCUUAUAAUUUGGUAGCAAAAAGGGUCAGCAAUAAUCAAUUCAGAGAUGCAAAGUUGAAUAAACGCUCAACGACGGUACUGUGCUGGUCCUAGGCUAGACUGUGCUAGAGACGCGAGCCUAGAGCACCAACAAAAUCACGGCGCGGCACGUAAACAAGGGAGGAGCACACUCUGAAUUUUUUUCUCUUUUUUUUUGCACUUUUUUUCCUCUUUUUUUUUUGCUCCGCAACAAAUUUUUUUCGAAAAAGUCUACAAAUGGUCUAAAAACUGCCUAGCCAGAAUUUUCCAGACUUAGUUUUUUUUUUGAAAUUGGAACUAUUUUUCUUCUGCGGAUGGCUCGGAAGUUGGCGAGUCCUUCUCUGUCACGACUCGGAGUAUCGCGUGAUCUGGAAAUCGAGAACAAUGCAACAAUUACUGGACUCGGACUAGGACUGGUGGCGGAGAUGAAUCUGGUGGAACUCGGACUGGUGGCGAAGAUGAAUCUGGUGGAACACGGACAGGUGGCGGAUAUAUGUUGCAGGUGAACUCGGAUUGGCGUGAUGGCGGCGGAUAUGUGGUGGCGUAUAUGGAUUCGGAUUGACGGUGAAUAUGUGGUGGUGGUAUAUGGCAACAGCGACGAUGAUGAUGCGGUGGUGAUAUAUGGCAGCGGCGACGUGACAACCUGUGAACAGAACUCGAAACUCUAAAAGACUAGACGCUAAGACCAGCAACUGGACAUGACGAUGCAACCGCAAAUUCAACAAAGCAAAUACAGAAAAGAUUAUGCAAGGCUCAGAUUGGUUCGGAUGGGAUGAACUAACCCUAAUUUUUUUUGGCUUUUUCGUGGACUAUAGGUAUGAAGAACAGACUCGAUCUAAACUACGAAAAACUGUAAAAUCUCACCGAGCAACCUGGAAAUCUGAUACCACUUGAUAGAGGCAAAGGUGUCCCGUCUUUCGAUGAGAUGAUGGAUAUCGCUUUGGUGGAAGUCGACUUUGAUGAUCCGACUACGAGCGUGCGAGGACGUCGCGCCUUAGCAAUCGCUAAACCAACUCCGAGAGGUUAUUGACCACGCCGGAGCACGAUCAACCUGACCACGAGGGUCUAUUUCCUGCGAGCAAACGAAGAACAAGCAAGAAACUAAGAUUGCAAUCUGGAUAUUGCGAAUAUAAGAUGAAAGCUUUA